Molecule: ribosomal RNA, 300 nt
Filed under: Triticum aestivum (bread wheat)
Lineage: Eukaryota; Viridiplantae; Streptophyta; Magnoliopsida; Poales; Poaceae
Description: partial small subunit ribosomal RNA
Source: RNAcentral
GAGGUCACAAGGGAUAUACAAGGAGAUAUCCCAUGGUGUAUGCUCUUUGCGGAUGAUGUGGUGCUAGUUGACGAUAGUCGGACGGGGGUAAAUGGGAAGUUAGAGUUAUGGAGACAAACCUUGGAAUCGAAAGGGUUUAGGCUUAGUAGAACUAAAACCGAGUACAUGAUGUGCGGUUUCAGUACUACUAGGUGUGAGGAGGAGGAGGUUAGCCUUGAUGGCCAGGUGGUACUCGGAAGGACACCUUUCGGUAUUUGGGGUCAAUGUUGCAGGAGGAUGGGGGUAUUGAUGAAGAUGUGA